UCACCCUGUGAACAUACCUAUAACGUUGCCUCGGCGGGAACAGACGGCCCCGUAACACGGGCCGCCCCCGCCAGAGGACCCCCUAACUCUGUUUCUAUAAUGUUUCUUCUGAGUAAACAAGCAAAUAAAUUAAAACUUUCAACAACGGAUCUCUUGGCUCUGGCAUCGAUGAAGAACGCAGCGAAAUGCGAUAAGUAAUGUGAAUUGCAGAAUUCAGUGAAUCAUCGAAUCUUUGAACGCACAUUGCGCCCGCCAGUAUUCUGGCGGGCAUGCCUGUUCGAGCGUCAUUACAACCCUCAGGCCCCCGGGCCUGGCGUUGGGGAUCGGCGGAAGCCCCCUGCGGGCACAACGCCGUCCCCCAAAUACAGUGGCGGUCCCGCCGCAGCUUCCAUUGCGUAGUAGCUAACACCUCGCAACUGGAGAGCGGCGCGGCCACGCCGUAAAACACCCAACUUCUGAAUGUUGACCUCGAAUCAGGUAGGAAUACCCGCUGAACUUAAGCAUAUCAAUAAGCGGAGGA
This 520-nucleotide ribosomal RNA is filed under the name Fusarium sp. MAB02. RNAcentral's name for it is "eukaryotic LSU rRNA". The stretch from base 134 to 287 matches the Rfam family "5.8S ribosomal RNA". The record is from RNAcentral. Lineage: Eukaryota; Fungi; Ascomycota; Sordariomycetes; Hypocreales; Nectriaceae.